CAGUCGCCGCGGUAAUACGGAGGGGGCUAGCGUUGUUCGGAAUUACUGGGCGUAAAGCGCACGUAGGCGGCUUGGUAAGUUAGAGGUGAAAGCCUGGAGCUCAACUCCAGAAUUGCCUUUAAGACUGCCGAGCUAGCAGGUGAGAGAGGUAAGUGGAAUUCCGAGUGUAGAGGUGAAAUUCGUAGAUAUUGGGAAGAACACCAGUGGCGAAGGCGGCUCACUGGACCGACACUGACGCUGAGGCGCGAAAGCGUGGGGAGCAAACAGGAUUAGAUACCCCCGUAGUCCCUGUCUCUUAUAC
This 301-nucleotide ribosomal RNA is filed under the name uncultured bacterium. Its description in RNAcentral is "partial 16S ribosomal RNA". It matches the Rfam family "Bacterial small subunit ribosomal RNA", at positions 509 to 807 of the family's 1533-position model. The record is from RNAcentral.